RNAcentral lists this ribosomal RNA (396 nucleotides) under uncultured bacterium. Its description in RNAcentral is "bacterial SSU rRNA". It matches the Rfam family "Bacterial small subunit ribosomal RNA", at positions 28 to 418 of the family's 1533-position model. The record is from RNAcentral.
GAUGAACGCUAGCGGCAGGCUUAAUACAUGCAAGUCGAGGGGUAACAUGGGGUAGCAAUACUCUGAUGACGACCGGCAAACGGGUGCGGAACACGUACGCAACUUUCCCAAAACUAGGUGAAUAGCCCUCCGAAAGGAGGAUUAAUACACCGUAACAUAUAGAGGUGGCAUCGCCUUUAUAUUAUAGCUCCGGCGGUUUUGGAUGGGCGUGCGCCUGAUUAGGUAGUUGGUGUGGUAACGGCUCACCAAGCCUACGAUCAGUAACUGGUGUGAGAGCACGACCAGUCACACGGGCACUGAGACACGGGCCCGACUCCUACGGGAGGCAGCAGUAAGGAAUAUUGGUCAAUGGACGAAAGUCUGAACCAGCCAUGCCGCGUGAAGGAUGAAGGCCCU